RNAcentral lists this transfer RNA (90 nucleotides) under Desulfobacterales bacterium. RNAcentral describes it as "tRNA-Ser". It matches the Rfam family "tRNA". Rfam says of the family: Transfer RNA (tRNA) molecules are approximately 80 nucleotides in length. Their secondary structure includes four short double-helical elements and three loops (D, anti-codon, and T loops). The record is from RNAcentral. Lineage: Bacteria; Pseudomonadati; Thermodesulfobacteriota; Desulfobacteria; Desulfobacterales. RNAcentral also lists the same sequence under 2 other names.
GGAGAGGUGCCAGAGUGGCCGAAUGGGCCGCACUCGAAAUGCGGUGAACCUUUGCGGGUUCCGUGGGUUCGACUCCCACCCUCUCCGCCA